Molecule: small RNA, 672 nt
Filed under: Berwaldia sp. JJW-2009a
Lineage: Eukaryota; Fungi; Microsporidia; Amblyosporidae
Description: partial contains 16S ribosomal RNA, 16S-23S ribosomal RNA intergenic spacer, and 23S ribosomal RNA
Rfam family: Microsporidia small subunit ribosomal RNA (bases 1-463)
Source: RNAcentral
GUAUUUUGCGAGGGCAUAGAUUAGUUCUAUGUUCUGAUGAUGCUGCGCGUGGUGCAUGGCCGUUCUUAACACGUGGGGUGACCUGUCUGGUUAAAUCCGAUAACGCGUGAGACCCUGGAUGAUGACGAUGCUCGAUGAGAGUAGGGAAGCUCGGGUCGAUAACAGGUCUGUGAUGCCCGUAGAUGUCCCGGGCGCCACGCGCACUACAGUGGGAGAGGUUACGUGAAACGGAGCUCUCUUGCGGUUGGGAUUGACGUUUGUAAAUAUGUCAUGAACGCGGAAUUCCUAGUAGCGUGCCGUCACUAACGGCAGGCGAAUGAGUCCCUGUUCUUUGUACACACCGCCCGUCGUUAUCUAAGAUGGAUGUGCGGAUGAAGUUGGCUAGGCCAAAAGAAUCCGUGCCACUAGAUUGGAUACAAGUCGUAACAAGGUUGCAGUAGGUGAACCUGCCGCAGGAUCAAUAAGCAGAGCGUUUUGGGGUUUAAUAUGUAUGUAUACAUUACGUUCGAAGGAUCGAUUGGCUUUGGUGACGAUGAAGAACGUUGCAGAUUGCGAUAUUGAGUGAGAAUAGCGUUAUUCAGCUCGUGUUCGAAUUAUAGAUGAUAUCUAUGAUAACUCCUUGGACUUAAGCAUAUCAUUAGAGGAAGGAGAAGAAAAUAACGAUGAUUUCGA